This 433-nucleotide ribosomal RNA is filed under the name uncultured bacterium. Its description in RNAcentral is "partial 16S ribosomal RNA". It matches the Rfam family "Bacterial small subunit ribosomal RNA", at positions 29 to 507 of the family's 1533-position model. The record is from RNAcentral.
AACGAACGCUGGCGGCAUGCCUAACACAUGCAAGUCGAACGAGACCUUCGGGUCUAGUGGCGCACGGGUGCGUAACGCGGGGGAACCUGCCCUUAGGUUCGGAAUAACUCCCCGAAAGGGGUGCUAAUACCGGAUAAUGUCUUCGGACCAAAGAUUUAUCGCCUUUGGAUGGGCCCGCGUUGGAUUAGCUAGUUGGUAGGGUAAAAGCCUACCAAGGCGACGAUCCAUAGCUGGUCUGAGAGGAUGAUCAGCCACACUGGGACUGAGACACGGACCAGACUCCUACGGGGGGCAGCAGUGGGGAAUAUUGGACAAUGGGCGAAAGCCUGAUCAAGCAAUGCCGCGUGAGUGAUGAAGGCCUUAGGGUUGUAAAGCUCUUUUACCCGGGAUGAUAAUGACAGUACCGGGAGAAUAAGCUCCGGCUAACUACGUG